GACAUUUGGAGAUAUUUUCGGAUAAGCAUUAGAUCGCUUAUCAUACUACAUUGCAUAUAAAAAUAAACCAAGUUUAUCAACUCGGCAAUAUAUAUUGAAACCGCGUCAAUUUUCGAGGUUCCUAUCCUUGAUUUAGAUGUGGGACUACCAACAUCAUAAAAUUAUACCAAUAUACACAUUGCAACAUAAUAAAAGAGCUUCCUCAUCAGCUAGAUACUGGAGACUGAUUAAUUUCAUCAUAAAGAAACCCUUCUGCAUU
RNAcentral lists this long non-coding RNA (259 nucleotides) under Mytilus galloprovincialis (Mediterranean mussel). Lineage: Eukaryota; Metazoa; Mollusca; Bivalvia; Mytilida; Mytilidae. The record is from RNAcentral.